AAAUUGAAGCGGUUUGAUCAUGGCUCAGAUUGAACUGGCGGCAGGCUAGCACAUGCAAGUCGAACGGUAGAAGCAGGGAAGCAGCUUGCUGCUUCGCUGACAGUGGCGGACGGGUAGUAAUGUCUGGAAACUGCCUGAUGGAGGGAUAGCUUUACCACUGGAAACGGUGGCUAAUACCGCAUAACGUCGCAAGACCAAGAGGGGACCUUCGGGCACUCUUGCCAUCAGAUGUGCCCAGAUGAGUUAGCUUGUUGGUGAGGUAACGGCUCACCAGGCGACUGACUCCUAGCUGGUCUGAGAGGAUGACCAGCCACACUGGAACUGAAGACACGGUCCCGAACUCCUACAGGAGGCAGCAGUGGGAAAAUGUGCACGGGCGCAAGCCUGAUGCAGCCAUGCCGCGUGUAUGAAAGGCCUUCGGGUUGUAAAAGUACUUUCAGCGGGGAGGAAGGUUUGUGGUUAAUAACCACAGCAGUGACGUCCACUGCAGAAGAAAGCACCAGCUAACUCCGUGCCAGCAGCCGCCUGCGGUAAUACGGAGGUGCAAAGCGUUAAUCGGAAUUACUGGGCGUAAAAGCGCACGCAGGCGGUCUGUCCAAGUCGGAUGGUAAUCCCCAGCGGGCUCAACACAGAACUGCAUUCAACUGGCAGGCUUGAGUACUUAGAGGGGUAGAAUUCCGGUGUAGCAGCGGUGAAAUGCGUAGAAUCUGGAGAUACCGUGGCGAAGGCAUUUGGACGACGCUCAGGUGCAGCGUGAGGCAAACGAAGUUAGAUACCCACGGUAGUUACACGCGCUAAACGAUAAUGUCUGCGGAGGUUGUGCCUUGAGGCGUGGCUUCCAGGGCUUUAACGCGUUAAGUAGACCGCACAGGGAGGUACGGCCCGCAGGUUAAAACUCAAAUAAUUGACGGGGGGGCCGCAAGCGGUGGAGCAUGUGGUUUAAUUCGUGCAGCGCGAAAGAACGCUUACGGUGCGGCAUCACGGAAGUUUUCAGAGAUGAUGUGCCUUCGGGAACCGUGAGACAGGUGCUGCAUGGCUGUCGUCAGCUCGAUGGUGAAAUGUUGGGUUAAGUCCCGCAACGAGCGCAGCCCAUAUCCUUUGUUGCGCCAGCGGUCCCGGCCGGGAACUCAAAGGAGACUGCCAGUGAUAAGAAACUGGAGGGAAUUCAGGGGAUGACGAUCAGGUCAUCGCUGGCCGCCUGACGGGGGCUACACGUGCUACAAUGGCGCAUACAAGAAGCGACUUCGCGAGAGCAAGCGGACCUCAUAAGGGUGCGUCGUGGUCGGAUUGGAGUCUGCAACUCGACUCCAUGAAGUCGGAAUCGCUAGUAAUCAUUGGAUCAGAAUGCCACGGUGAAUACGUUCCCAGGCCUUGUACACCGCCGUCACACCAUGGGAGUGGGUUGCAAAGAAGUAGGCUAACAGCCAGCCUUCGGGAGGCGCUUACCACUUUGUGAUUCAUGACUGGGGGUGAAGUCGUAACAAGGUAACCGUAGGGAGGAACCUGCGGUUGGAUCACCUCGCCA
Molecule: ribosomal RNA, 1525 nt
Filed under: Salmonella enterica subsp. enterica serovar Weltevreden
Lineage: Bacteria; Pseudomonadati; Pseudomonadota; Gammaproteobacteria; Enterobacterales; Enterobacteriaceae
Description: bacterial SSU rRNA
Rfam family: Bacterial small subunit ribosomal RNA
Source: RNAcentral